Esox lucius (northern pike) is the source of this 2358-nucleotide long non-coding RNA. The record is from Ensembl. Lineage: Eukaryota; Metazoa; Chordata; Actinopteri; Esociformes; Esocidae.
GGAAGUACUUACUAGACUGAGUAGUAAGUGACACAUGUGUAAAGUCCUAAUAUAGGCCACUGUUUAGUGUAAAGCUUCGGUAUUCAUCUAGAAGUCCUUGUUAUUUGGAUAGCAGGUUGACGCGUAUGUAGUAAUAAUUUAAAUCUUGUACAAGUAAGGGGAAGAAAAAGACAUCUUUAAACAAUGUGGUAAAUACAGGGACUGCAGCCCUCCCGUUGUAAUUUAGAAAAUGGUGAAAUCCUUGGCCUAUGAGAUCAAAAAUAAUUUGAAAAUAGAUGACUGUCACCAAGAGAUAAUUCAAAAAUAUGCCAUUGUUCCAGAAGAAGAUUUUUUGAGUUUUUUUGAUAUACAGAAAAUAUGGGAAGAAUUUCAAAGAAUGCCUGAUGAAUUACAAAAAACACAGUGGUCAAUGAUUGUGUUAUCAGAAAUUGAAAAAUGGAAUGAUAAAUUCCUCAAAAAUGUGUUCCGGCGUCGGCUGAACAAAUGGCUGAACUGGAUAAGUUGGAAAAAGGAACUGGAAACAUUGAAAGCAGGAACAACAUCUAAAGACACUCAAAGCCCAUUGAAAAAGAAAUCAUGAUCAUGUCACUAUUGUGGAAUCAUUGGACAUUGGCAGGAUGAGUGUCGCAAGAAAAAGAAGAACCAAAGGAAAAGGACAGGAUGCACAGACAGUUGGAACAUGAGACAUUCUACCCACAUUCCGAUCAGCAGCAAGGAAAGAUCUCCCAUGUAUGGAAUUCAGGAAUCAAAGACAGAGGAUUUCCUGGUGAUACCGGGAACUGACGUGAGCUUAUAAUCAUUGAUUAAGAGUUUUAAAUAUGUUUACAAAAAUUUAUCGAACCUAAAUAUUGAGUAGAGCUGGAACUUAUCAAGGAAAUCUGAUCACUUCCCUUGAUAAUGACCAUGCUUAUUCAAGUGAAUAUUAAUUUGAAGGCACUUUGAUGGUGUAUAGCAUGUUUUAAUAAGCAUUGGAAAUAGCCUGUUUUGUUCUGUCAUGCUUGAACAUGUUUUAAUAGGUAUUCAAGGAAUAGCCUGUUUUGUUGUGCUUUGUCAUGUUCACUAUGUACAUUUAAAUCAAACGUAUUUAUUGCAUUGAUGAUAAUGUUUAAAACCGUAAGGCCUCAAGGAGUGUCACACUACAGGCUUUAACACGUGGGUACAUCUAACCCUAGUGAUAAAUUAGAAAUUGGUACAAUGAUGAUUUUGUAAUCUGGUAGAAUAGUCUCAUGGUUUUCUUACAAAAGGUUAAAAUAUUGUGUGUUCUCUCUCCUUAAUAUUAUAUCAGUGAUAGAAUGAAGAAUCCACAUGGUGAUAAUCUUUAAUGUUAAGAAGACACGCUGUGUCCCAUGAGGAUUAGAUAUGAAUCCAAAACAGCCAUAAGCCUUUACAGAGGGUUUCCCCCAAGUUGGAAUGUGUGUGUGUUCUCUGCCUUGUCACAGGACAACUGGUGAGAGGGAAACAAUACACAUAGGGUAAUAUUUUUUUGAAGUAGACACAUGGCUUUCCAUGUGCACUGAAUUUGAUUCUAAUGUAUGUUAUACAUUGGUUUUAGACAAAAGAUUGAGAUUAAAGUCUAAAAUUAUGACAAAAAGGGUGAAAACUGCCAAAAGCGAGUUUAUCCCCUACAAUAACAUUUUAUAUUUUAUUUUGAAUGUUGAAUUGGCUUUGGUUAAUUAGGAACAUUUGAAUUUGUUAGUUUUUUGUGUUUCUCUUACAACUAAGAUGACAUUUGUGUUUAUAGAGCAAGUUAGAUACUAAAAAGUUGACUGACUAAAAUGGUCCCUUGGUUCAGAGAGCAGCACAGGGGGGAGGAGUGCUUGAGCCAACACCCCCACACACCCCCACACCCUGGGAUAGCGAGAGUAACACAGGCUUACUUGGGUGGUCAUGUCUGUUUUUGGUUUAGUCAUAAUUUUCACCAAUGUUUUGGAAUAUCCACCAGAUUGUUAAGUUAUUGUAUAGAUAUGACAAGCAUAUUUUUACUAACUGCGAACAAAACAGUAAAUCUGAACCUUCACUUAACAAAGGAUAUCGGCUAAUUUGAAAGAAUAACAUAUGUUGCUACAGACAGUCUGAGGACCAUGUAUGGAUUUUUUAUAUGUGGAAACCUAAAUUUCAUAUACAUUUUAAAUAAUCCAUUUGGCCUUUAUUUAUGGCUUGCCAUGAGUGGGUGAAGCCAAGGGCUCCAGGAAGGGGGGCAGACCCCUAGGACGACCCCAAACAACCUCUCCCAUUAAAUCAGGGUAGCCUAUUUCUAAGGGUUAAAGUUGAGUGUUCAGACUGGUCUCAACUGUGGUAAUUUCCUCAACGUAAGCAAAUUCAGUUUUGGGAUGAUCAAACAUUGAGUAGAGGUUAGAG